UUAAGGUUCUACUGAGUUCUAUUGUGCCAGUAUUUCCAACCAAGCUGAGCUGUUUGGGGGCACUUGUUAAAAGCUGACGAAUUAUGGGACUUUCUUUUCUCCGGCUCUCCAAAGCGGCCGAUUCCAAGUCUACAGUUUUGUUGUCCUGGAGCUGAGCGUUUCUUGCGCAGUGGCCCUAGGACCCUUGCAUCAGUUCACCACAGAGGUAGGAAGUGAGGCCACCGCGGGUCAGGCAGUAGAAAGGAAUCUUUGGUGGGGAAGGAAGCGAAGCCGGCUACACGCCUGCCUUUCCAUCCGAUGAAUUCAGUUUGCAGGCACGUUCUAAGUCCGCUAUGCCCUGAGAUGCUGCGCUAAAAAUAGCUCCGAGCUUACUUCCCUCCUUUCCAGUUUGUAGUCCCCCAGACAGAGGCCCUGCUGUCUGCCAGUCUGAGCUGGAAUUAGCACACGGUGUCAGGGCUCUGCUGCAUCCCUGCUGGUGGAGGCUGAAGCCUUUGCCCAUCAAUCGCGAUCGGCUGUCUCCACUCCUGUGCCCUUUGGUUACCUGUGUCCAGGAGGCCGACCACACCCAUCCUUAACUACCGAUGUAAAGGAUGUCAUGGGCUGACUCACUCUCUCAGUGUUAUUUCAGACAGCAGGCUGUUCCUGCCCCCAGCACCUCUCCACAGCACAGCUUUUCCUUCUCUGGAAUCCGCCCCACCCUCCCGUGGAUCCCGGAAACCUCAGCUCCAAAACUCUCAUCCCUACAGUCAAUUCCGUUCUCUCAGCGGCUAUCUUUGCCACCCUCUACCCAGCUAUGGACUCUCUCAAGCUGUGUUCAUGGUUCUUGGACAGGUUUACGUAUUUCCGAGUUUCUGAAUAGUUGUAGACCCGAUGGGAGGAACGAAGUGAGACGGCAGGAUGGAAAGAACCAAAAAGCUAUUCUGGUUCAGAUAGGUGUGUUGCCAAGAAACAAAGCAACAUCGAGCUCAAAUGAAUAAUGGUUUAACUUCAGAAUGCAAGUGGGAGAGAUUUGUCCUGACCACAGGCCAGGCAGGCAGGACAAAGGAAAACUUCCAGCUACAGUCGUCUUGCAAGAUCUGGAAGGCUACUUCAAUAUCAACAUCCAAUCAAGAGGUGAGGCUAAGUAAAUACUCCAGUCGCGUUCCUGAUGGCAGAGACUCAGCAGUAGAAACAGCAGCGGUGUGCACACCAUUCCUGGUUAUGCUGUGCUGAGGAGGCCUUCAUCCAGGAAUGUGAGCACACUAUGCAAGAGUGGGAGUGAAACAGAUACUAUUUUGAUAUCCUGAAGAUGCAGAGAUGGAUGGCUGAAUGGAAACAUAAAACAGAGUCAGAUGAGCACAUGGAACGACCUUCGCCACCUGGACUAUCUUCUUCUAGAUACUUUGUAAUGAAUGAGGGGGAGGGGACCCUAUAAAUUAGUUCAAGCA
Peromyscus maniculatus bairdii (prairie deer mouse) is the source of this 1427-nucleotide non-coding RNA. NCBI's taxonomy places the organism in Eukaryota, Metazoa, Chordata, Mammalia, Rodentia, Cricetidae. The record is from RefSeq and is a predicted model, not a curated record.